This 437-nucleotide long non-coding RNA is filed under the name Cricetulus griseus (Chinese hamster). Its description in RNAcentral is "lncRNA (ENSCGRG00015038096.1)". Lineage: Eukaryota; Metazoa; Chordata; Mammalia; Rodentia; Cricetidae. The record is from RNAcentral.
CUCUAAUGGGCUCCUGAUCCAGCCAACCCACAGGCUGUAAGAUCGGAGGAUUGGGGAUGUAAGCCCAAUAGGCCACACCCUCUAAGCUGGGGGGAGUAGAAAUUAAAGCCAAAAUGGCAAGAAAGUUCAUGCUAGCUGUUAGGGGUUUUCCUUGCUGUUUCAGCAAGGUUUUUGCUUCUUUCAUCAGGUGCUUGAUCUUCAUCCAAGUGAUUCUUCUUGUCUGCGAAGACGGCGCUGAAUUUCUGACCUUUCAUGGCUGCAGCGUAGGCCAUACCCUGAACUACCGCUGUCAUAGAUUGCCCCAUGUUUUCCUGUGAUUACUUACACUUAACCAGUGAUCCUUUACUGGCGGGACUGCAGUUCCCUGGUAAGAGCCGUACCUGAUUUCUGAGGAGAAAGAAAAGAAAGAUUACCUGUCCUUCAAGUCCCUGUUCUGG